GCUCACCAAGUGAGGUCAUUUCUCAAAACUUCUCAAAGAAGAUGGGUUCCCGUCCUAACACGGAGUCAGCGUUUCAGUGACAAGCCUUCAAAGCUCUCCAUAUCUUAAAUGUACUUGAAUGGACAGUUCAUUUGAGCAAUGACUCAGCAGAACUGAGCUUAUUCUCUUGGAGAAGAAUAUUUUCGGGUCACUAUUUUUUGGUGAUUUCAAAAACCUGGACAUGCAACAGAAUGCUUGUCUUGCUAGAGGAGCAUUGAGUUGAGAGGGGCUCAUCAAAAGACUGAAUAACAACAAUAAAAUUGGGAUAUGUAUAUGUGUAUAUAUAUAUAUAUAUAUAUAUAUAUAUAUAUAUAUAUAUCCCUUUUAGAUUCACAAAGCACUUUACAUACAUGCCCUCAUUCCAUCCUCAUGUCCUGGAAGGCAGUUUUGCAUCAUGAAUUGAGAUCUCAAGUCAAGAUCAGGCUGUGACUUCCAUCUCUGAGAAAAUAUUGACUUUAUGGCCCUAUAUAAGAUUCUUAAUUAAAUCAAGAAAGUGCAGAGCAGUUGCUGAUUUGCAUUUGGAGGAGUAUGAAUUUAGUGUUAUGAAGAGUGAGAUAUUUUCCACCAAUUAAAAAGAAACCUUAUUGGAUGGGCAGACACACAGCAAAAUGUCCAGGAAUUAUUGCUCAUCUUCACAAGCAUCAUAUGGCAGAGGCAUGAUUACACAAUAGAUGAUAUCCAAAAUAUAGUAAUGAUAAUAGUAGUUAGGUAAUAUUUCCCUACUGCUUUGAGUUUAGCAAAAUGAUUUGUAAGUAAAAUUUCACUCAGGUUACAAGAGGACUGAAAGGUCAAAAAUAGUCAAAAGUAUGAUAUGACAGCUAAAAAGAUUAAUGCAACCUUAGGUUUGCUUCCUUAGGGGAGCUCUCCAUACCAAUAAUAAAGAUGUGAGAGUCCUUCUGUGGUUUAUCCUG
RNAcentral lists this long non-coding RNA (950 nucleotides) under Monodelphis domestica (gray short-tailed opossum). RNAcentral describes it as "lncRNA (ENSMODG00000042900.1)". The record is from RNAcentral. Lineage: Eukaryota; Metazoa; Chordata; Mammalia; Didelphimorphia; Didelphidae.